UGCCUUAGUAACGGCGAGUGAAGCGGCAAUAGCUCAAAUUUGAAAGCUGGCCCCUUCGGGGUCCGCGUUGUAAUUUGUAGAGGAUGAUUCGGCGAGGGCUCCCGUCUAAGUCCCUUGGAACAGGGCGUCAUAGAGGGUGAGAAUCCCGUAUGUGAUGGGCUGCCUUAGCCAUGUGAAUCUCCUUCGACGAGUCGAGUUGUUUGGGAAUGCAGCUCUAAAUGGGAGGUAAAUUUCUUCUAAAGCUAAAUACCGGCCAGAGACCGAUAGCGCACAAGUAGAGUGAUCGAAAGAUGAAAAGCACUUUGGAAAGAGAGUUAAAAAGUACGUGAAAUUGUUGAAAGGGAAGCGCUUGCAGCCAGACUUGUCCGCAGUUGCUCAGCUUGUCUCCUGACAGGCGUACUCUUCUGCGGCCAGGCCAGCAUCAGUUCGGGCGGUCGGAUAAAGACCUGGGGAAUGUAGCUCCUCUCGGGGAGUGUUAUAGCCCUGGGUGCAAUGCGGCCAGCCUGGACUGAGGAUCUCGCUUCGGCUAGGAUGCUGGCGUAAUGGCUGUAAGCGGCCCGUCUUGAAACACGGACCAAGGAGUCUAACAUCUAUGCGAGUGUUUGGGUGUCAAACCCAUGCGCGUAAUGAAAGUGAACGGAGGUGGGAACCCUCACGGGUGCACCAUCGACCGAUCCUGAUGUCUUCGGAUGGAUUUGAGUAAGAGCAUAGCUGUUGGGACCCGAAAGAUGGUGAACUAUGCCUGAAUAGGGUGAAGCCAGAGGAAACUCUGGUGGAGGCUCGCAGCGGUUCUGACGUGCAAAUCGAUCGUCAAAUUUGGGUAUAGGGGCGAAAGACUAAUCGAACCAUCUAG
This 853-nucleotide ribosomal RNA is filed under the name Neofusicoccum parvum. Its description in RNAcentral is "eukaryotic LSU rRNA". It matches the Rfam family "Eukaryotic large subunit ribosomal RNA", at positions 76 to 947 of the family's 3401-position model. RNAcentral also lists the same sequence under 2 other names. The record is from RNAcentral. Lineage: Eukaryota; Fungi; Ascomycota; Dothideomycetes; Botryosphaeriales; Botryosphaeriaceae.